CUGGUUCCCCUUUGGUGUGUUGAAAUAAACCUCCCUGGAACUGACCACAUACAAAAGGCCCUUCUGCCUCUCCACUGAGCUGGCCAUGGCAUGUUUGGGAGGUGCAAAGUGCUGAAAAACUGCUGAACAAUCACACCUUCACUGCAUGGAGAAGUCCAGAGGUGCUUUGCAGGGACAUCAUCUACACAGAGAAUAAUUUUAAAGCCUUCCCCAUGUGAAGAUUCCAAGGAGGAAAAUGUGAGACCUGUGAGCACACCGUAUUCCCCUGCUAUCCACACCUGGAGUCUAGGAGUGACGAAACCUAAUGGAAAACAGUCGUGGUGACCUCUAUGCAGAUGUUAUAAUCUGGUCUGUGUGAUUAUGAGGGCUGCAGAAAACACCGUGGGAUCCCUGUAGUAACGACAGAGACUUACAAGCAUGGCAUCCAGGCAUAAUUAUCUUCCAGUUACCCUGUGCUAGUGGUAAUGCAUUGGUCUGAUGCUAUUAAUGAAAUGUGGCAAAUUAAAUGUUGAGAGGAAAUUUGUGUUGUCAGUGCACCAAAUAUUUUAGCCCUCAGAUUUUUUUUCUAAAUGACUCCAAACACUGCUAGAGGCAAUCCAUGUACUUGCUUAAAAAUACUUAUACUUCAAAGAUACUGAUCAUCCUGAUGUGUCUUUAUCAACAGCAACUGAAAAGAUGAACCAAAAUCAUGCCAAAACACCACUUAAUUCAAUCUAAACCAUGUUUAAAGUAUGCAAGUCCUAAUCAAGGUUAACACAGCUUGAGACUGUUGCAGGCAGUGUAGUAGUAAAUAUUAAUAAUUUGUUUCCAUGAUUUGUAUAGACUAUCAUGCUAGAAAAGCGGGAAUGUGAUUUCAAGUUACAUGAGUUCUCCCUUGGAAAAGCUCUUCAUUAGUAUCCAUCCUCCUUCUUUACUAGCAUAAUUUUAUCAAUACUACAAAUUUAUUCAUUAUUCCUUAAUAUGCAUAAUUUUACAUAUAUAUAUUCUUUUCUUAUAAUGAGAAUGUAGGAUAUCUAGUGAGGAGUCUCAGGCGCAAAAGCAGA
Motacilla alba alba is the source of this 1043-nucleotide long non-coding RNA. RefSeq lists it as uncharacterized. Lineage: Eukaryota; Metazoa; Chordata; Aves; Passeriformes; Motacillidae. The transcript is spliced from 3 exons. The record is from RefSeq and is a predicted model, not a curated record.